Molecule: ribosomal RNA, 253 nt
Filed under: uncultured bacterium
Lineage: Bacteria
Description: partial 16S ribosomal RNA
Rfam family: Bacterial small subunit ribosomal RNA
Source: RNAcentral
UACGGAGGGAGCUAGCGUUAUUCGGAAUUACUGGGCGUAAAGCGCACGUAGGCGGCUUUGUAAGUUAGAGGUGAAAGCCUGGAGCUCAACUCCAGAACUGCCUUUAAGACUGCGUCGCUUGAAUCCAGGAGAGGUGAGUGGAAUUCCGAGUGUAGAGGUGAAAUUCGUAGAUAUUCGGAAGAACACCAGUGGCGAAGGCGGCUCACUGGACUGGUAUUGACGCUGAGGUGCGAAAGCGUGGGGAGCAAACAGG